This 464-nucleotide ribosomal RNA is filed under the name uncultured bacterium. RNAcentral's name for it is "partial 16S ribosomal RNA". It matches the Rfam family "Bacterial small subunit ribosomal RNA", at positions 338 to 795 of the family's 1533-position model. The record is from RNAcentral.
CCUACGGGCGGCAGCAGUAGGGAAUUUUCGUCAAUGGGCGCAAGCCUGAACGAGCAAUGCCGCGUGAACGAGGAAGGUCUUCGGAUCGUCACGUUCUGUUGAAGGGGAAAAAGAGCAGAGAGAGGAAAUGGUCUCCGAUUGAUAUUACCCUUCGAGGAAGUCACGGCUAACUACGUGCCAGCAGCCGCGGUAAUACGUAGGUGGCGAGCGUUAUCCGGAUUGAUUGGGCGUAAAGGGUGCGUAGGCGGCCUGCUAAGUCUGGAGUGAAAGGUACCGGCUCAACCGGUACAGGCUCUGGAAACUGGCGGGCUAGAGAGCAGGAGAGGGCGGUGGAACUCCAUGUGUAGCGGUAAAAUGCGUAGAUAUAUGGAAGAACACCAGUGGCGAAGGUGGCCGCCUGGCCUGUUACUGACGCUGAGGCACGAAAGCGUGGGGAGCAAAUAGGAUUAGAUACCCGAGUAGUC